Molecule: ribosomal RNA, 301 nt
Filed under: uncultured bacterium
Lineage: Bacteria
Description: partial 16S ribosomal RNA
Rfam family: Bacterial small subunit ribosomal RNA
Source: RNAcentral
CAGUCGCCACGGUAAUACGUAGGGUGCGAGCGUUAAUCGGAAUUAUUGGGCGUAAAGGGCUCGCAGGCGGUUUCCUAAGUCUGAUGUGAAAGCCCCCGGCUCAACCGGGGAGGGUCAUUGGAAACUGGGAAACUUGAGUGCAGAAGAGGAGAGCGGAAUUCCAUGUGUAGCGGUGAAAUGCGUAGAUAUAUGGAGGAACACCAGUGGCGAAGGCGGCUCUCUGGUCUGUAACUGACGCUGAGGCUCGAAAGCGUGGGGAGCAAACAGGAUUAGAUACCCCCGUAGUCCCUGUCUCUUAUAC